UAUACAUGCAGUCGAACGCUUCUUUUUCCACCGGAGCUUGCUCCACCGGAAAAAGAGGAGUGGCGAACGGGUGAGUAACACGUGGGUAACCUGCCCAUCAGAAGGGGAUAACACUUGGAAACAGGUGCUAAUACCGUAUAACAAUCAAAACCGCAUGGUUUUGAUUUGAAAGGCGCUUUCGGGUGUCGCUGAUGGAUGGACCCGCGGUGCAUUAGCUAGUUGGUGAGGUAACGGCUCACCAAGGCCACGAUGCAUAGCCGACCUGAGAGGGUGAUCGGCCACAUUGGGACUGAGACACGGCCCAAACUCCUACGGGAGGCAGCAGUAGGGAAUCUUCGGCAAUGGACGAAAGUCUGACCGAGCAACGCCGCGUGAGUGAAGAAGGUUUUCGGAUCGUAAAACUCUGUUGUUAGAGAAGAACAAGGAUGAGAGUAACUGUUCAUCCCUUGACGGUAUCUAACCAGAAAGCCACGGCUAACUACGUGCCAGCAGCCGCGGUAAUACGUAGGUGGCAAGCGUUGUCCGGAUUUAUUGGGCGUAAAGCGAGCGCAGGCGGUUUCUUAAGUCUGAUGUGAAAGCCCCCGGCUCAACCGGGGAGGGUCAUUGGAAACUGGGAGACUUGAGUGCAGAAGAGGAGAGUGGAAUUCCAUGUGUAGCGGUGAAAUGCGUAGAUAUAUGGAGGAACACCAGUGGCGAAGGCGGCUCUCUGGUCUGUAACUGACGCUGAGGCUCGAAAGCGUGGGGAGCAAACAGGAUUAGAUACCCUGGUAGUCCACGCCGUAAACGAUGAGUGCUAAGUGUUGGAGGGUUUCCGCCCUUCAGUGCUGCAGCUAACGCAUUAAGCACUCCGCCUGGGGAGUACGACCGCAAGGUUGAAACUCAAAGGAAUUGACGGGGGCCCGCACAAGCGGUGGAGCAUGUGGUUUAAUUCGAAGCAACGCGAGAAACCUUACCAGGUCUUGACAUCCUUUGACCACUCUAGAGAUAGAGCUUCCCCUUCGGGGGCAAGUGACAGGUGGUGCAUGGUUGUCGUCAGCUCGUGUCGUGAGAUGUUGGGUUAAGUCCCGCAACGAGCGCAACCCUUAUUGGUAGUUGCCAUCAUUCAGUUGGGC
RNAcentral lists this ribosomal RNA (1112 nucleotides) under Enterococcus faecium. RNAcentral's name for it is "bacterial SSU rRNA". It matches the Rfam family "Bacterial small subunit ribosomal RNA", at positions 50 to 1136 of the family's 1533-position model. The record is from RNAcentral. Lineage: Bacteria; Bacillati; Bacillota; Bacilli; Lactobacillales; Enterococcaceae.